Ricinus communis (castor bean) is the source of this 108-nucleotide non-coding RNA. NCBI's taxonomy places the organism in Eukaryota, Viridiplantae, Streptophyta, Magnoliopsida, Malpighiales, Euphorbiaceae. The record is from Rfam.
AAUCCAUGGUGUGGGCAUUGCAAUAAAAAUGCUUUGAAGCGAUCCCAUACUUCAUGAAAAGAUUCAACAUUCUUUUGAUAAAAAUCAGAAAUUUCACCUUUUAAUUCU